GACAAACGCUGGCGGGGUGCAUGAGACAUGCAAGUCGAACGGGGUUGAACGGGCUUGCUCGAUCAACCUAGUGGCGGACGGCUGAGUAACGCGUAGGUGACCUACCCGAAAGUGGGAAUAACUGCCCGAAAGGUGGCUAAUACCGCAUGUGGUCGGCGAUUCGGUUCGCCGCCCAAAGCCGUAAGGCGCUUCCGGAGGGGCCUGCGUCCGAUUAGCUAGUUGGUGGGGUAAUGGCUCACCAAGGCGACGAUCGGUAGCUGGUCUGAGAGGAUGAUCAGCCAGACUGGGACUGAGAACGGCCCAGACUCCUACGGGAGGCAGCAGUCGGGAAUUUUGCCAAUGGACGAAAGUCUGAGGCAGCAACUCCGCGUGAGGGACGAAGGCCUUCGGAUCGUAAACCUCUUUCUCAGGAAGAUA
This 417-nucleotide ribosomal RNA is filed under the name uncultured bacterium. Its description in RNAcentral is "bacterial SSU rRNA". It matches the Rfam family "Bacterial small subunit ribosomal RNA", at positions 28 to 448 of the family's 1533-position model. The record is from RNAcentral.